This is a long non-coding RNA of Psammomys obesus (fat sand rat), 986 nucleotides long. RefSeq lists it as uncharacterized. Lineage: Eukaryota; Metazoa; Chordata; Mammalia; Rodentia; Muridae. The record is from RefSeq and is a predicted model, not a curated record. The transcript has 3 exons.
UAUCACGAGAACUGCAGCCUCCGAGGUGCAAGGCGGAGGGAGAGUCUGGAGUGGAGGGCACACCUCUUCUUACCCAAGAGCAUGGGGCUACUUUUGGCCUGGGUACUUUUAUGAGAAAGCUUCCCACUCUCUGAAAAGAAAUGGAGUUCCUGAUGUGACAAGCUGUUUGCUCCAGCUAGCACCCUCCUGGACCAGGACUCUAAACCCUGGCAGCACCCAGGGAGAGAUUCCAGUCCAAAGCACUGUCGUUUCCCUCCUGGACUGAGCAAGAGCCGCUGAGCUCAUCUUUCCCUGCUUCAGCUUUGACACUCUGCAAUUGCACUGAGCCUGCUGAAGUCAGAGUAGCCCAAAAAUGAAAUACGGGUAUGUCCUGUGACAUGCUUCCUGCUGACUCUCUGUUGCUACAGGACAAAGGCAGAGCUGCUGCUGUGGCCUGGAAGAUGGCCGUGGUCUGCCAAGUCUUACGUUCAACCUCUCACAUCACCCCAGCACCGCAGCUGUGUCUCUCCGGUUGUUCCCACCUCCACACCUUUACACACACUGGAAGCUCCACCUGGAAGCUGACUUCUUCCUCCUAUUUUAAAACCCUGCAGGAUGUCCUCCCUGGAUGCUUCCAUCCUUGAUUCCCCCGAGGAGAAUCAGGUGGACCCUUUUCUGUCCUCUUACACCAGUUUGCAUAGAACUUCUGAAAACAUUAAGCAAAGGAUCACUGAAGUAUGUGUCUUGCCCGUGUAUCUGUCUCGGCAAUAGCACGCUUGGCUAGGCCUUUAUUCUGCUCCACCAACCAAACUCCAUCCCUGCCCUGGGCUGUUGCAACAUCCUUACAAAUAAAGAAUAUUUUCUGGAAAAAUGGAAUAACUUUUGACUGAAAUGCUUAAACAUUUCCGCUGGACCCAAUGAAAUAAGCAGUCUCAUGACUUCGAGGACAGCCUGGACUAGGAUGCCAAUUUGCUCCAGUUAUGUAACUGAUGUACUGCUGUGCUUAG